CUGUGUGUUGUUGGGUAGGGGAGCGUUCUGUAAGCCUGCGAAGGUGUCCCGUGAGGGAUGCUGGAGGUAUCAGAAGUGCGAAUGCUGACAUAAGUAACGAUAAAGCGGGUGAAAAGCCCGCUCGCCGGAAGACCAAGGGUUCCUGUCCAACGUUAAUCGGGGCAGGGUGAGUCGACCCCUAAGGCGAGGCCGAAAGGCGUAGUCGAUGGGAAACGGGUUAAUAUUCCCGUACUUGGUGUUACUGCGAAGGGGGGACGGAGAAGGCUAUGUUGGCCGGGCGACGGUUGUCCCGGUUUAAGCGUGUAGGUGUGUGUUCCAGGUAAAUCCGGUUCACUUUAACACUGAGGCGUGACGACGAGGCACUACGGUGCUGAAGCAACAAAUGCCCUGCUUCCAGGAAAAGCCUCUAAGCAUCAGGUAACAUCAAAUCGUACCCCAAACCGACACAGGUGGUCAGGUAGAGAAUACCAAGGCGCUUGAGAGAACUCGGGUGAAGGAACUAGGCAAAAUGGUGCCGUAACUUCGGGAGAAGGCACGCUGACACGUAGGUGAAGUGAUUUACUCAUGGAGCUGAAGUCAGUCGAAGAUACCAGCUGGCUGCAACUGUUUAUUAAAAACACAGCACUGUGCAAACACGAAAGUGGACGUAUACGGUGUGACGCCUGCCCGGUGCCGGAAGGUUAAUUGAUGGGGUCAGCGCAAGCGAAGCUCCUGAUCGAAGCCCCGGUAAACGGCGGCCGUAACUAUAACGGUCCUAAGGUAGCGAAAUUCCUUGUCGGGUAAGUUCCGACCUGCACGAAUGGCGUAAUGAUGGCCAGGCUGUCUCCACCCGAGACUCAGUGAAAUUGAACUCGCUGUGAAGAUGCAGUGUACCCGCGGCAAGACGGAAAGACCCCGUGAACCUUUACUAUAGCUUGACACUGAACAUUGAGCCUUGAUGUGUAGGAUAGGUGGGAGGCUUUGAAGUGUGGACGCCAGUCUGCAUGGAGCCGACCUUGAAAUACCACCCUUUAAUGUUUGAUGUUCUAACGUGGACCCGUAAUCCGGGUUGCGGACAGUGUCUGGUGGGUAGUUUGACUGGGGCGGUCUCCUCCUAAAGAGUAACGGAGGAGCACGAAGGUUGGCUAAUCCUGGUCGGACAUCAGGAGGUUAGUGCAAUGGCAUAAGCCAGCUUGACUGCGAGCGUGACGGCGCGAGCAGGUGCGAAAGCAGGUCAUAGUGAUCCGGUGGUUCUGAAUGGAAGGGCCAUCGCUCAACGGAUAAAAGGUACUCCGGGGAUAACAGGCUGAUACCGCCCAAGAGUUCAUAUCGACGGCGGUGUUUGGCACCUCGAUGUCGGCUCAUCACAUCCUGGGGCUGAAGUAGGUCCCAAGGGUAUGGCUGUUCGCCAUUUAAAGUGGUACGCGAGCUGGGUUUAGAACGUCGUGAGACAGUUCGGUCCCUAUCUGCCGUGGGCGCUGGAGAACUGAGGGGGGCUGCUCCUAGUACGAGAGGACCGGAGUGGACGCAUCACUGGUGUUCGGGUUGUCAUGCCAAUGGCACUGCCCGGUAGCUAAAUGCGGAAGAGAUAAGUGCUGAAAGCAUCUAAGCACGAAACUUGCCCCGAGAUGAGUUCUCCCUGAGACUUAGAGUCUCCUGAAGGAACGUUGAAGACGACGACGUUGAUAGGCCGGGUGUGUAAGCGCAGCGAUGCGUUGAGCUAACCGGUACUAAUGAACCGUGAGG
This 1725-nucleotide ribosomal RNA is filed under the name Salmonella enterica subsp. enterica serovar Kentucky. RNAcentral's name for it is "partial 23S ribosomal RNA". It matches the Rfam family "Bacterial large subunit ribosomal RNA", at positions 1214 to 2915 of the family's 2925-position model. The record is from RNAcentral. Lineage: Bacteria; Pseudomonadati; Pseudomonadota; Gammaproteobacteria; Enterobacterales; Enterobacteriaceae.